This 27-nucleotide small RNA is filed under the name Bombyx mori (domestic silkworm). Its description in RNAcentral is "ovarian small RNA-32792". Lineage: Eukaryota; Metazoa; Arthropoda; Insecta; Lepidoptera; Bombycidae. The record is from RNAcentral.
UGAUGACGAUGAUGAUGAUGACGUCAC